GAUGAACGCUGGCGGCGUGCCUAAUACAUGCAAGUCGAACGAGGUGCUUUUGUAGCAAUACGAGAGUAUCCUAGUGGCGAACGGGUGAGUAACGCGUGGAUGACCUGCCCCAAAGUGUGGGAUAACAGUCCGAAAGGAUUGCUAAUACCUCAUGUGGUUAUCGGUUUUAGAAAGCGAUAACUAAAGCAGCAAUGCGCUUUGGGAGGGAUCUGCGUCCCAUCAGCUAGUUGGUGAGGUAACGGCUCACCAAGGCGACGACGGGUAGGGGACCUGAGAGGGUGGCCCCCCACAAUGGAACUGAAACACGGUCCAUACACCUACGGGUGGCAGCAGUAGGGAAUAUUGCUCAAUGGGCGAAAGCCUGAAGCAGCAACGCCGCGUGUGCGAUGAAGGCCUU
RNAcentral lists this ribosomal RNA (397 nucleotides) under uncultured bacterium. RNAcentral describes it as "bacterial SSU rRNA". It matches the Rfam family "Bacterial small subunit ribosomal RNA", at positions 28 to 418 of the family's 1533-position model. The record is from RNAcentral.